NNNNNNNNNNNNNNNNNNGGGAGCAUGCUGCAACAUUUAGAGCACAUGAAGACUAUGCUUAUGGACUUCAGAGAGAAAAAUAUCACAUUUACUGAAAUUCAGGAAGCAUUUAUAAUUCUCUCUUCACUUGAUGAGUCAUAUGACCAGCUUGUAGCGAACAUGGAGGUACUACCACAAGCUGAACUAACAGUAUUAAAUGUGACCAGUAGACUUCUGGAGGAGGAGCAGAAAAGGAAAGACAACCAGGAACUGCGUGACUCCAAAACCUCUGUGAGAAACAAGCCAAGUGUAAUUGGGGAGGAGGAGGUCACAGCUGCAAAUAUCCAGCCUGGGAGGAGAUGUUUUUCCUGUGGGUCCAGACAGCAUCUUAUCAAAGAAUGCAAAUUUAAAAAGAAGAAAAGAAAACAAUCACGACGUGAGAAAGUAGCAACAAACCUAACAGAAACUAUUUACAACAACCACCAUGAAGCUGAAUGGGUAGUAGACUCAGGGGCAACAGCUAACAUGUGCAGAGAUAAAAGGCAGAUAUCCAAUUUUAAGGCUGUGUUUGAUCAGCAAGUAAUGUUGGCUGAUGGAGUGAGUGCAAAAGUCAUGGGUAAAGGUAAAGUAAAAUUACCAUGUUUAAAGGUGCCAAUAGAGGUGUUAUACGUGCCAAAGUUAAAACACAAUUUAUUGUCAGUUAGCCAAUUAGCAAAAGAGGGGUUUGUUAGUACAUUCUAUAGAAAUAAGUGUGUUAUAAAUGGUGAAAAGAAUGAAAAGCUAACAUGUUAUGUAAGAAAUAACCUAUAUAGGCUAAGUAGUGCUAAGGCAAACAAUGUGUAUGAGAAUGUAAAACCUCAUAAUGAAUGUAUACAUUUGUGGCAUUUGAGAUUGGGACAUGCAAAUUAUAAGGCAUUACGUAAAACAAUUGAGAAUUCAACUGGAGUGAAUUUAAGGCAAUGUGAGAAAUACAUUAAUUGCCAAGCCUGUCAAGAAGCAAAAAGUAAAUGUGCUCCUGUAAAGAAGCAUAGUAACAUAGAAGUUGGCAACAUUCUAGAUUUAGUGUCAAUAGAUGUAAUAGGCCCCC
Molecule: long non-coding RNA, 1066 nt
Filed under: Pogona vitticeps (central bearded dragon)
Lineage: Eukaryota; Metazoa; Chordata; Lepidosauria; Squamata; Agamidae
Description: lncRNA (ENSPVIG00000025573.1)
Source: RNAcentral